Molecule: ribosomal RNA, 513 nt
Filed under: uncultured bacterium
Lineage: Bacteria
Description: bacterial SSU rRNA
Rfam family: Bacterial small subunit ribosomal RNA
Source: RNAcentral
GAAGGCUCUCGGGUCGUAAACCCCUUUCAGCAGGGACGAAAAUGACGGUACCUGCAGAAGAAGCCCCGGCCAACUACGUGCCAGCAGCCGCGGUAACACGUAGGGGGCAAGCGUUGUCCGGAUUUAUUGGGCGUAAAGAGCUCGUAGGCGGUUCAGUAAGUCAGGUGUGAAAACCCAAGGCUCAACCUAGGGACGCCACUUGAUACUGCUGUGACUAGAGUCCGGUAGAGGAGAUUGGAAUUCCUGGUGUAGCGGUGAAAUGCGCAGAUAUCAGGAGGAACACCAACGGCGAAGGCAGAUCUCUGGGCCGGUACUGACGCUGAGGAGCGAAAGCGUGGGGAGCGAACAGGAUUAGAUACCCUGGUAGUCCACGCCGUAAACGUUGGGCACUAGGUGUGGGGUCUAUUCAACGGAUUCCGUGCCGUANCUAACGCAUUAAGUGCCCCGCCUGGGGGAGUACGGCCGCAAGGCUAAAACUCAAAGGAAUUGACGGGGGCCCGCACAAGCAGCGGA